UACGUAGGGUGCAAGCGUUAAUCGGAAUUACUGGGCGUAAAGCGUGCGCAGGCGGUGCUGUAAGACAGGCGUGAAAUCCCCGGGCUUAACCUGGGAAUGGCGCUUGUGACUGCAGUGCUGGAGUGUGGCAGAGGGGGAUGGAAUUCCGCGUGUAGCAGUGAAAUGCGUAGAUAUGCGGAGGAACACCGAUGGCGAAGGCAAUCCCCUGGGCCUGCACUGACGCUCAUGCACGAAAGCGUGGGGAGCAAACAGG
This 253-nucleotide ribosomal RNA is filed under the name uncultured bacterium. RNAcentral describes it as "partial 16S ribosomal RNA". It matches the Rfam family "Bacterial small subunit ribosomal RNA", at positions 524 to 776 of the family's 1533-position model. The record is from RNAcentral. RNAcentral also lists the same sequence under 1 other name.